This 632-nucleotide ribosomal RNA is filed under the name Pseudoalteromonas sp. PB23. RNAcentral's name for it is "bacterial SSU rRNA". It matches the Rfam family "Bacterial small subunit ribosomal RNA", at positions 52 to 671 of the family's 1533-position model. Lineage: Bacteria; Pseudomonadati; Pseudomonadota; Gammaproteobacteria; Alteromonadales; Pseudoalteromonadaceae. The record is from RNAcentral.
CACAUGCAAGUCGAGCGGUAACAGAGAGUAGCUUGCUACUCUGCUGACGAGCGGCGGACGGGUGAGUAAUGCUUGGGAAUGUACCUUAUGGUGGGGGACAACAGUUGGAAACGACUGCUAAUACCGCAUAAUGUCUUCGGACCAAAGCGGGGGACCUUCGGGCCUCGCGCCAUAAGAUCAGCCCAAGUGGGAUUAGCUAGUUGGUGAGGUAAUGGCUCACCAAGGCGACGAUCCCUAGCUGGUUUGAGAGGAUGAUCAGCCACACUGGGACUGAGACACGGCCCAGACUCCUACGGGAGGCAGCAGUGGGGAAUAUUGCACAAUGGGCGCAAGCCUGAUGCAGCCAUGCCGCGUGUGUGAAGAAGGCCUUCGGGUUGUAAAGCACUUUCAGUAAGGAGGAAAGGUUGGNUGUUAAUAGCAUUCAGCUGUGACGUUACUUACAGAAGAAGCACCGGCUAACUCCGUGCCAGCAGCCGCGGUAAUACGGAGGGUGCGAGCGUUAAUCGGAAUUACUGGGCGUAAAGCGUACGCANGCGGUUUGUUAAGCGAGAUGUGAAAGCCCCCGGGCUCAACCUGGGAACUGCAUUUCGAACUGGCAAACUAGAAUGUGAUAGAAGGGUGGUAGAAUUUCA